UACAUAGGUCGCAAGCGUUAUCCGGAAUUAUUGGGCGUAAAGCGUAUGUAGUCGGUUUAUUAAGUCUGAAGUUAAAGCCUGGGGCUCAACCCCAGCCCGCUUUGGAUACUGGUAAACUAGAGUUAUAGAGAGGUUAGUGGAACUCCAUGUGAAGCGGUGGAAUGCGUAGAUAUAUGGAAGAACACCAAUGGCGAAGGCAACUAACUGGCUAUACACUGACGAUGAGAUACGAAAGCGUGGGGAGCAAAUAGG
This 252-nucleotide ribosomal RNA is filed under the name uncultured bacterium. RNAcentral describes it as "partial 16S ribosomal RNA". It matches the Rfam family "Bacterial small subunit ribosomal RNA", at positions 524 to 776 of the family's 1533-position model. The record is from RNAcentral.